This 48-nucleotide non-coding RNA is filed under the name Trypanosoma brucei brucei. Lineage: Eukaryota; Euglenozoa; Kinetoplastea; Trypanosomatida; Trypanosomatidae. The record is from RNAcentral.
AAAACAAUAAUCAUGAUGAGAUAUAAAGUGCAGUUUGUGAUAAUUAAU